UACGGAGGUGGCAAGCGUUGUUCGGAAUCACUGGGCGUAAAGGGCGCGUAGGCGGGGCCGGAAGUCGGGCGUGAAAUCCCCGGGCUCAACCCGGGAACUGCGUCCGAUACUGGCAGGCUUGAAUCCGGGAGAGGGAUGCGGAAUUCCAGGUGUAGCGGUGAAAUGCGUAGAUAUCUGGAGGAACACCGGUGGCGAAGGCGGCAUCCUGGACCGGCAUUGACGCUGAGGCGCGAAAGCCAGGGGAGCAAACGGG
This 253-nucleotide ribosomal RNA is filed under the name uncultured prokaryote. RNAcentral's name for it is "partial 16S ribosomal RNA". It matches the Rfam family "Bacterial small subunit ribosomal RNA", at positions 524 to 776 of the family's 1533-position model. The record is from RNAcentral.